CUUCACCGAGCCGAGCCAGAGGGGACGGUCCGCGGGGCGCCCCUGCCCGUACGUAGCCAGGAGGGCCUGGGCCUC
RNAcentral lists this antisense RNA (75 nucleotides) under Streptomyces albus subsp. albus DSM 41398. Its description in RNAcentral is "ASpks TB sRNA". It matches the Rfam family "ASpks TB sRNA". Lineage: Bacteria; Bacillati; Actinomycetota; Actinomycetes; Kitasatosporales; Streptomycetaceae. The record is from Rfam by way of RNAcentral.